CAAAGGAAUUGACGGGGACCCGCACAAGCGGUGGAUGAUGUGGAUUAAUUCGAUGCAACGCGAAAAACCUUACCUACCCUUGACAUGCCAGGAACCCUGCUGAGAGGUGGGGGUGCUCGAAAGAGAGCCUGGGCACAGGUGCUGCAUGGCUGUCGUCAGCUCGUGUCGUGAGAUGUUGGGUUAAGUCCCGCAACGAGCGCAACCCUUGUCAUUAGUUGCCAUCAUUUAGUUGGGCACUCUAAUGAGACUGCCGGUGACAAACCGGAGGAAGGUGGGGAUGACGUCAAGUCCUCAUGGCCCUUAUGGGUAGGGCUUCACACGUCAUACAAUGGUCGGUACAGAGGGUUGCCAAGCCGCGAGGUGGAGCCAAUCCCAGAAAGCCGAUCGUAGUCCGGAUCGUAGUCUGCAACUCGACUGCGUGAAGUCGGAAUCGCUAGUAAUCGUGGAUCAGCAUGCCACGGUGAUACGUUCCCGGGUCUUGUACACACCGCCCGUCACACCAUGGGAGUGGUUUCACCAGA
This 521-nucleotide ribosomal RNA is filed under the name uncultured Gammaproteobacteria bacterium. Its description in RNAcentral is "bacterial SSU rRNA". It matches the Rfam family "Bacterial small subunit ribosomal RNA", at positions 902 to 1424 of the family's 1533-position model. The record is from RNAcentral. Lineage: Bacteria; Pseudomonadati; Pseudomonadota; Gammaproteobacteria.